RNAcentral lists this ribosomal RNA (397 nucleotides) under uncultured bacterium. RNAcentral describes it as "partial 16S ribosomal RNA". It matches the Rfam family "Bacterial small subunit ribosomal RNA", at positions 361 to 776 of the family's 1533-position model. The record is from RNAcentral.
AUAUUGCACAAUGGAGGGAACUCUGAUGCAGCGACGCCGCGUGAACGAUGAAGGCNUUNNGGUCGNANAGUUCUGUCCUAGGGNNNNNUAAUGACGGUACCCUAGGAGGAAGCCCCGGCUAACUACGUGCCAGCAGCCGCGGUAAUACGUAGGGGGCGAGCGUUGUCCGGAAUUAUUGGGCGUAAAGGGUUCGUAGGCGGUCUUUUAAGUCAGAUGUGAAAGGUCACGGCUCAACCGUGGUAAGCAUUUGAAACUGAGAGACUUGAGUUAAGGAGAGGAAAGUGGAAUUCCUAGUGUAGCGGUGAAAUGCGUAGAUAUUAGGAGGAAUACCAGUGGCGAAGGCGACUUUCUGGACUUAAACUGACGCUGAGGAACGAAAGCGUGGGGAGCAAACAGG